Molecule: ribosomal RNA, 497 nt
Filed under: uncultured bacterium
Lineage: Bacteria
Description: bacterial SSU rRNA
Rfam family: Bacterial small subunit ribosomal RNA
Source: RNAcentral
AAAUGAAUAGACGGGGACCCGCACAAGCAGCGGAGCGUGUUGUUUAAUUCGAAGAUACUCGAAGAACCUUACCAAGACUUGACAUCGCCUGCCCGGUGUAGAAAUACAUUUUCUGUAGUAAUACAGCAGGUAGACAGGUGGUGCAUGGUUGUCGUCAGCUCGUGUCGUGAGAUGUUGGGUUAAGUCCCGCAACGAGCGCAACCCCUACGAUUAGUUGCCAAUAUUAAGUUAGGAACUCUGAUCGGACUGCCGUGGAUAUAACACGGAGGAAGGCGGGGAUGACGUCAAAUCAUCAUGCCCCUUACGUCUUGGGCUACAAACGCGCUACAAUGGCCGUUACAAAGAGCAGCGAAGCCGCAAGGCGGAGCCAAUCUCAAAAAAGCGGUCUCAGUUCGGAUUGUGGGCUGCAACCCGCCCACAUGAAGUUGGAGUUGCUAGUAAUCCCGAAUCAGCAUGUCGGGGUGAAUGCGUUCCCGGGUCUUGUACACACCGCCCGU